Molecule: transfer RNA, 85 nt
Rfam family: tRNA
About the family: Transfer RNA (tRNA) molecules are approximately 80 nucleotides in length.
CCUUCGAUAGCUCAGUUGGAAGAGCGUGAGACUGUAAUGGAUACUUAUUAUCUCAAGGUCGCUGGUUCGAUCCCGGCUCGAAGGA